AAACAAGGAAAGGUUGAUCCGAACCUGAAAUCGGAGUGUUUUGGGUUUGCUUGUACCCGGGAAACAAGUGUUCUAGCUUGGGAUAGCUAGGGUCGGAGUUUCCGACGUCUUGUAUUCUAGCUUGGGAUAGCUAGUGUCGGAGUUUCUGACGUUUUGUAUUCGGGUUGAAUACAAAGGAUAGUGGAUUGAAAUUCCCAAGUGGGAUCUUGGGGAAUGGAUGUAGGUGCAAGGUUAGCACCGAACCACUAUAAAUCCUUGUGUUUGUGGUGUGCUUUAUCGCUUUAUCUUAUUUCUUUAUUAUAUUUUUGCAAUACUACUUUAGGUAAUUAAUAUUGAUUUAAAGCCAUUGUUUUGUUCUUCAUAAGUUAUUUGUUGGGCUUAAAAUUUUUAGAAACCCAAUUCACCCCCCCUCUU
This 414-nucleotide long non-coding RNA is filed under the name Elaeis guineensis (African oil palm). RNAcentral describes it as "long non-coding RNA (EGUI_LNC024456)". Lineage: Eukaryota; Viridiplantae; Streptophyta; Magnoliopsida; Arecales; Arecaceae. The record is from RNAcentral.